Molecule: long non-coding RNA, 351 nt
Organism: Herpailurus yagouaroundi (jaguarundi)
Lineage: Eukaryota; Metazoa; Chordata; Mammalia; Carnivora; Felidae
Exons: 3
Source: RefSeq, a predicted model, not a curated record
GAGGCUGUGAUAUCCACACAUUGUUGAGAUGCUAAGGAGUUCCUAUGGGGAAAAGGUGGCUAGCAUUCAGAUCAUCUUUGAAGCUCAAGGACCCAAUGCUGACAGCCACCCAGCUUCAGUGCACCCUUUGUUUGCUGGUUAUUUCCCAUUUCACUUGGGAUAAAUAGUUAUAAGAACAACUUGAGAGGUAUAUUGGUCUACACAAAACAGGAGAAACAUGGAGUAGUCCCUGGAGAAGUAAACAAGGGAAGAGGAAGACAGUGUGAAGACACUGGAGAAAGAUGGCCAUCUAUAAGCCGAGGAGGAAGACAUUAGAAGAAGCCCUGCCAACACAAGGAUCCUGGACUUCUA